Molecule: non-coding RNA, 106 nt
Organism: Nephila pilipes (giant wood spider)
Lineage: Eukaryota; Metazoa; Arthropoda; Arachnida; Araneae; Nephilidae
Source: the annotation of a GenBank genome assembly
CACCAAUACUAUACUGAAAACACCAGUUCUCGUACGAUUACGAAGUUUAGCAUCAUCGGGUGUGGUCAGUAUUAGGGAGGGUGACCACCUGGGAACACAGUGUGCC